AUACUGACGUAAUCGCUGCACAGUCAUCUGUGUAGAGGAAAGUCCAUGCUCACACAGACUGAGAUGUCUGUAGUGUUCGUGCCUGACGAAAUCAUAAGUCAGGGUACUAACGGCAGCAAAAAAUCCUACGUUCAACUGAAUAUGGAUGAGUAUGCUUGAAAGUGCCACAGAGACGCAGCUAGAUUGGAAACAAUCUAGGUGGAACGAGGUAAACCCCACGAGUGAGCAACCCAAAUAUUGGUAGGGGCAUCCUUGAGUAGAGAAUUCAAUCGAAAAAGGGACGAGCAAUUUGGCUCGUAGAUAGAUGAUUACGACCAGAGUACGAGGUUGACAACCGUCUGUAGUACAAUGGUACAGAACAUGGCUUAUCAAG
This 373-nucleotide RNase P RNA is filed under the name Cerasibacillus quisquiliarum. RNAcentral's name for it is "Bacterial RNase P class B". It matches the Rfam family "Bacterial RNase P class B". Rfam says of the family: Ribonuclease P (RNase P) is a ubiquitous endoribonuclease, found in archaea, bacteria and eukarya as well as chloroplasts and mitochondria. The record is from Rfam by way of RNAcentral. Lineage: Bacteria; Bacillati; Bacillota; Bacilli; Caryophanales; Bacillaceae.